This 438-nucleotide ribosomal RNA is filed under the name uncultured bacterium. Its description in RNAcentral is "bacterial SSU rRNA". It matches the Rfam family "Bacterial small subunit ribosomal RNA", at positions 954 to 1392 of the family's 1533-position model. The record is from RNAcentral.
GCAUAACGCGAAGAACCUUACCAAGGCUUGACAUGCAUCUCUAAGCGCGUGAAAGCGCGUGACUCUUCGGGGGAUUUGCACAGGUGCUGCAUGGCCGUCGUCAGCUCGUGUCGUGAGAUGUUGGGUUAAGUCCCGCAACGAGCGCAACCCUUGUGACUAGUUGCCAGCACGUUAUGGUGGGAACUCUAGUCAGACUGCCCAGAUCAACUGGGAGGAAGGUGGGGACGACGUCAGGUCAGUAUGGCCCUUACGCCUUGGGCUGCACACGUACUACAAUGCCCAGCACAAUGAGAACCGAGACCGCGAGGUGGAGGAAAUCUAAAAAACUGGGCCCAGUUCGGAUUGGAGGCUGCAACUCGCCUCCAUGAAGUUGGAAUCGCUAGUAAUGGCGCAUCAUCUACGGCGCCGUGAAUACGUUCCCGGGUCUUGUACACACCG